Molecule: transfer RNA, 76 nt
Filed under: Melioribacteraceae bacterium
Lineage: Bacteria; Pseudomonadati; Ignavibacteriota; Ignavibacteria; Ignavibacteriales; Melioribacteraceae
Description: tRNA-Lys
Rfam family: tRNA
About the family: Transfer RNA (tRNA) molecules are approximately 80 nucleotides in length. Their secondary structure includes four short double-helical elements and three loops (D, anti-codon, and T loops).
Source: RNAcentral
GCACCCUUAGCUCAGUUGGUAGAGCAUUUGACUCUUAAUCAACAGGUCGCCGGUUCGAGCCCGGCAGGGUGCACCA